GUAUGUAUUAUAUGAAUAAGGAUCGGCUAACUCCGUGCCAGCAGCCGCGGUAAUACGGAGGAUCCGAGCGUUAUCCGGAUUUAUUGGGUUUAAAGGGAGCGUAGGUGGACUGGUAAGUCAGUUGUGAAAGUGUGCGGCUCAACCGUAAAAUUGCAGUUGAUACUGUCAGUCUUGAGUACAGUAGAGGUGGGCGGAAUUCGUGGUGUAGCGGUGAAAUGCUUAGAUAUCACGAAGAACUCCGAUUGCGAAGGCAGCUCACUGGACUGCAACUGACACUGAUGCUAGAAAGUGUGGGUAUCAAACAGGAUUAGAUACCCUGGUAGUCCACACAGUAAACGAUGAAUACUCGCUGUUUGCGAUAUACAGUAAGCGGCCAAGCGAAAGCAUUAAGUAUUCCACCUGGGGAGUACGCCGGCAACGGUGCAACUCAAAGGAAUUGACGGAAC
Molecule: ribosomal RNA, 446 nt
Filed under: uncultured organism
Description: bacterial SSU rRNA
Rfam family: Bacterial small subunit ribosomal RNA
Source: RNAcentral